Podarcis lilfordi (Lilford's wall lizard) is the source of this 142-nucleotide non-coding RNA. NCBI's taxonomy places the organism in Eukaryota, Metazoa, Chordata, Lepidosauria, Squamata, Lacertidae. The record is from the annotation of a GenBank genome assembly.
UGGAAAAUAGGGACACUUGGUAAGUGAUUCAAAUACUGAAUAAAUAAUAAACAUGACUUGUCUGGUGUUACCUGAGGAGUGUGUGUGUGUGUGUGUGUGUGUGUGUGUGUGUGUGUUCAAGAGAAAGAGUGCUACCUUCCAG